Molecule: transfer RNA, 31 nt
Filed under: Amazilia yucatanensis
Lineage: Eukaryota; Metazoa; Chordata; Aves; Apodiformes; Trochilidae
Description: partial tRNA-Met
Source: RNAcentral
GAAAAUGAUGGUUUAAUCCCUUCCCUUAUUA